CAUCGCUCAACGGAUAAAAGGUACUCCGGGGAUACAGGCUGAUACCGCCCAAGAGUUCAUAUCGACGGCGGUGUUUGGCACCUCGAUGUCGGCUCAUCACAUCCUGGGGCUGAAGUAGGUCCCAAGGGUAUGGCUGUUCGCCAUUUAAAGUGGUACGCGAGCUGGGUUUAGAACGUCGUGAGACAGUUCGGUCCCUAUCUGCCGUGGGCGUUGGAAGAUUGAGAGGGGCUGCUCCUAGUACGAGAGGACCGGAGUGGACGAAUCACUGGUGUUCGGGUUGUCAUGCCAAUGGCAUUGCCCGGUAGCUAAAUUCGGAAGAGAUAACCGCUGAAAGCAUCUAAGCGGGAAACUUGCCUCGAGAUGAGUCUUCCCUGGGGCUUAAAGCCCCCUGAAGGAACGUUAAAGACUAUGACGUUGAUAGGCUGGGUGUGUAAGUGCAGCGAUGUAUUGAGCUAACCAGUACUAAUGAUCCGUGAGGCUUAACCUU
This 487-nucleotide ribosomal RNA is filed under the name Yersinia pestis CA88-4125. RNAcentral's name for it is "bacterial LSU rRNA". It matches the Rfam family "Bacterial large subunit ribosomal RNA", at positions 2443 to 2925 of the family's 2925-position model. The record is from RNAcentral. Lineage: Bacteria; Pseudomonadati; Pseudomonadota; Gammaproteobacteria; Enterobacterales; Yersiniaceae.